GUUGUCCGGAUUUAUUGGUCGUAAAGAGCGUGUAGGCGGCCAUGUAGGUCCGGUGUGAAAACUCGAGGCUUAACCUCGAGAUGUCAUCGGAAACCAUUUGGCUAGAGUCCGGAAGAGGAGAGUGGAAUUCCUGGUGUAGCGGUGAAAUGCGCAGAUAUCAGGAAGAACACCAAUGGCGAAAGCAGCUCUCUGGGACGGUACUGACGCUGAGACGCGAAAGCGUGGGGAGCGAACAGG
Molecule: ribosomal RNA, 237 nt
Filed under: uncultured bacterium
Lineage: Bacteria
Description: partial 16S ribosomal RNA
Rfam family: Bacterial small subunit ribosomal RNA
Source: RNAcentral